RNAcentral lists this ribosomal RNA (909 nucleotides) under uncultured bacterium. Its description in RNAcentral is "bacterial SSU rRNA". It matches the Rfam family "Bacterial small subunit ribosomal RNA", at positions 8 to 916 of the family's 1533-position model. The record is from RNAcentral.
AGAGUUUGAUCAUGGCUCAGGAUGAACGCUAGCGGCAGGCUUAAUACAUGCAAGACGAACGGUAACUGUUGUAGCAAUACAAUAGCUAGAGUGUCGUACGGGUGCGUAACACGUAUGCAACCUACCUUGUACAGGAGGAUAGCUCGGGGAAACUCGAAUUAACCCUCCAUAACAUCAUGGAAUGGCAUCAUUUUAUGAUUAAAACUUCGGUGGUACAAGAUGGGCAUGCGUCUGAUUAGUUAGUUGGCGGUGUAACGGACCACCAAGACGAUGAUCAGUAGGGGACCUGAGAGGGUGAUCCCCCACACUGGCACUGAGAUACGGGCCAGACUCCUACGGGAGGCAGCAGUAGGGAAUAUUGGUCAAUGGGUGAGAGCCUGAACCAGCCAUGCCGCGUGCAGGAAGAAGGCGUUAUGCGUUGUAAACUGCUUUUGCCAGGGGAUAAAAUAACUGUGCGCAGUUGAUUGAAGGUACCUGGUGAAUAAGCCACGGCUAACUACGUGCCAGCAGCCGCGGUAAUACGUAGGUGGCAAGCGUUGUCCGGAUUUAUUGGGUUUAAAGGGUGUGUAGGUGGCUAUCUAAGUCAGUGGUGAAAUAUCUCAGCUUAACUGAGAGGGUGCCAUUGAUACUGGAUAGCUUGAGUACAGAUGAGGUAGGCGGAAUUGACGGUGUAGCGGUGAAAUGCAUAGAUAUCGUCAAGAACACCGAUAGCGAAGGCAGCUUACCAAGCUGUAACUGACACUGAGGCACGAAAGUGUGGGGAUCAAACAGGAUUAGAUACCCUGGUAGUCCACACUGUAAACGUUGAUGACUCGAUGUUGGCGAUACACAGCCAGCGUCCAAGAGCAAUCGUUAAGUCAUCCACCUGGGGAGUACGCCGGCAACGGUGAAACUCAAAGGAAUUGACGG